Molecule: long non-coding RNA, 268 nt
Organism: Molossus molossus (Pallas's mastiff bat)
Lineage: Eukaryota; Metazoa; Chordata; Mammalia; Chiroptera; Molossidae
Exons: 3
Source: RefSeq, a predicted model, not a curated record
CACUGGGCCGGGGUGGGAGCCGGAUGGGGAGACCCAGGCCAGAGGAGGCUACGGGAGCCCAUUGGAAGACCUUUGACAGCCUAGGGAGGGAAGCAAGGUGAAGAGACCGAGACCCAAAGAAGGGGGUGAUUUAUCCAAAGCCAAAGAGCUGGGACUGAGGAGUCUGGCUCCAGAGUCUCUGUCCCUAAGAUGCAAUACCAGGAGCAGUACAACCAUUUUGCGAACCACAAGAAAAAGCCAAGAGAAUUGCAGCGACACUGGCCCGACC